GAUUAAGUUAUUAAGGGCGCACGGUGGAUGCCUUGGCACUAGAAGCCGAUGAAGGACGUUACUAACGACGAUAUGCUUUGGGGAGCUGUAAGUAAGCUUUGAUCCAGAGAUUUCCGAAUGGGGAAACCCAGCAUGAGUUAUGUCAUGUUAUCGAUAUGUGAAUACAUAGCAUAUCAGAAGGCACACCCGGAGAACUGAAACAUCUUAGUACCCGGAGGAAGAGAAAGAAAAUUCGAUUCCCUUAGUAGCGGCGAGCGAAACGGGAAGAGCCCAAACCAACAAGCUUGCUUGUUGGGGUUGUAGGACACUCUAUACGGAGUUACAAAGGACGACAUUAGACGAAUCAUCUGGAAAGAUGAAUCAAAGAAGGUAAUAAUCCUGUAGUCGAAAAUGUUGUCUCUCUUGAGUGGAUCCUGAGUACGACGGAGCACGUGAAAUUCCGUCGGAAUCUGGGAGGACCAUCUCCUAAGGCUAAAUACUCUCUAGUGACCGAUAGUGAACCAGUACCGUGAGGGAAAGGUGAAAAGCACCCCGGAAGGGGAGUGAAAUAGAACCUGAAACCGUGUGCUUAC
This 572-nucleotide ribosomal RNA is filed under the name Staphylococcus aureus. Its description in RNAcentral is "partial 23S ribosomal RNA". It matches the Rfam family "Bacterial large subunit ribosomal RNA", at positions 1 to 567 of the family's 2925-position model. The record is from RNAcentral. Lineage: Bacteria; Bacillati; Bacillota; Bacilli; Caryophanales; Staphylococcaceae.